CGGUGGAGUAUGUGGUUUAAUUCGAUGCAACGCGAAGAACCUUACCUGGUCUUGACAUCCCGGAGACCCUUAGGAAACUAGGGGUGCUUCCAUCUGGAAGAAUCUGGAGACAGGUGCUGCAUGGCUGUCGUCAGCUCGUGUCGUGAGAUGUUGGGUUAAGUCCCGCAACGAGCGCAACCCUUGCCUUUAGUUGCCAGCAGUUCGGCUGGGCACUCUAAAGGGACUGCCGGUGUUAAACCGGAGGAAGGUGGGGAUGACGUCAAGUCCUCAUGGCCUUUAUGACCAGGGCUACACACGUACUACAAUGGCCGAUACAAAGGGCAGCGACACUGCGAGGUGAGGCCAAUCCCGUAAAAUCGGUCUCAGUCCGGAUUGGAGUCUGCAACUCGACUCCAUGAAGUUGGAAUCGCUAGUAAUCGUGGAUCAGCAUGCCACGGUGAAUACGUUCCCGGGCCUU
Molecule: ribosomal RNA, 457 nt
Filed under: uncultured Desulfobulbus sp.
Lineage: Bacteria; Pseudomonadati; Thermodesulfobacteriota; Desulfobulbia; Desulfobulbales; Desulfobulbaceae
Description: bacterial SSU rRNA
Rfam family: Bacterial small subunit ribosomal RNA
Source: RNAcentral